GGUUAAGCGACUAAGCGUACACGGUGGAUGCCCUGGCAGUCAGAGGCGAUGAAGGACGUGCUAAUCUGCGAAAAGCGUCGGUAAGGUGAUAUGAACCGUUAUAACCGGCGAUGUCCGAAUGGGGAAACCCAGUGCAAUUCGUUGCACUAUCGUUAACUGAAUACAUAGGUUAACGAGGCGAACCGGGGGAACUGAAACAUCUAAGUACCCCGAGGAAAAGAAAUCAACCGAGAUUCCCCCAGUAGCGGCGAGCGAACGGGGAGCAGCCCAGAGUCUGAAUCAGCUUGUGUGUUAGUGGAACGGUCUGGAAAGUCCGACGGUACAGGGUGAUAGUCCCGUACACCAAAAUGCACAGGUUGUGAACUCGAAGAGUAGGGCGGGACACGUGGUAUCCUGUCUGAAUAUGGGGGGACCAUCCUCCAAGGCUAAAUACUCCUGACUGACCGAUAGUGAACCAGUACCGUGAGGGAAAGGCGAAAAGAACCCCGGCGAGGGGAGUGAAAAAGAACCUGAAACCGUGUACGUACAAGCAGUGGGAGCACCUUCGGGUGUGACUGCGUACCUUUUGUAUAAUGGGUCAGCGACUUAUAUUCUGUAGCAAGGUUAACCGUAUAGGGGAGCCGCAGGGAAACCGAGUCUUAACUGGGCGUUAAGUUGCAGGGUAUAGACCCGAAACCCGGUGAUCUAGCCAUGGGCAGGUUGAAGGUUGGGUAACACUAACUGGAGGACCGAACCGACUAAUGUUGAAAAAUUAGCGGAUGACUUGUGGCUGGGGGUGAAAGGCCAAUCAAACCGGGAGAUAGCUGGUUCUCCCCGAAAGCUAUUUAGGUAGCGCCUCGUGAAUUCAUCUUCGGGGGUAGAGCACUGUUUCGGCUAGGGGGUCAUCCCGACUUACCAACCCGAUGCAAACUACGAAUACCGAAGAAUGUUAUCACGGGAGACACACGGCGGGUGCUAACGUCCGUCGUGAAGAGGGAAACAACCCAGACCGCCAGCUAAGGUCCCAAAGUCAUGGUUAAGUGGGAAACGAUGUGGGAAGGCACAGACAGCCAGGAUGUUGGCUUAGAAGCAGCCAUCAUUUAAAGAAAGCGUAAUAGCUCACUGGUCGAGUCGGCCUGCGCGGAAGAUGUAACGGGGCUAAACCAUGCACCGAAGCUGCGGCAGCGACACUAUGUGUUGUUGGGUAGGGGAGCGUUCUGUAAGCCUGCGAAGGUGUGCUGUGAGGCAUGCUGGAGGUAUCAGAAGUGCGAAUGCUGACAUAAGUAACGAUAAAGCGGGUGAAAAGCCCGCUCGCCGGAAGACCAAGGGUUCCUGUCCAACGUUAAUCGGGGCAGGGUGAGUCGACCCCUAAGGCGAGGCCGAAAGGCGUAGUCGAUGGGAAACAGGUUAAUAUUCCUGUACUUGGUGUUACUGCGAAGGGGGGACGGAGAAGGCUAUGUUAGCCGGGCGACGGUUGUCCCGGUUUAAGCAUGUAGGCUGGUUGUCCAGGCAAAUCCGGAUAAUCAAGGCUGAGGUGUGAUGACGAGGCACUACGGUGCUGAAGUAACAAAUGCCCUGCUUCCAGGAAAAGCCUCUAAGCAUCAGGUAACAUCAAAUCGUACCCCAAACCGACACAGGUGGUCAGGUAGAGAAUACCAAGGCGCUUGAGAGAACUCGGGUGAAGGAACUAGGCAAAAUGGUGCCGUAACUUCGGGAGAAGGCACGCUGGUGUGUAGGUGAAGUCCCUGCGGAUGGAGCUGAGACCAGUCGAAGAUACCAGCUGGCUGCAACUGUUUAUUAAAAACACAGCACUGUGCAAACACGAAAGUGGACGUAUACGGUGUGACGCCUGCCCGGUGCCGGAAGGUUAAUUGAUGGGGUUAUCCGUAAGGAGAAGCUCUUGAUCGAAGCCCCGGUAAACGGCGGCCGUAACUAUAACGGUCCUAAGGUAGCGAAAUUCCUUGUCGGGUAAGUUCCGACCUGCACGAAUGGCGUAAUGAUGGCCAGGCUGUCUCCACCCGAGACUCAGUGAAAUUGAACUCGCUGUGAAGAUGCAGUGUACCCGCGGCAAGACGGAAAGACCCCGUGAACCUUUACUAUAGCUUGACACUGAACAUUGAGCCUUGAUGUGUAGGAUAGGUGGGAGGCUUUGAAGCGUGGACGCCAGUCUGCGUGGAGCCAACCUUGAAAUACCACCCUUUAAUGUUUGAUGUUCUAACGUUGGCCCCUUACCGGGGUUGCGGACAGUGUCUGGUGGGUAGUUUGACUGGGGCGGUCUCCUCCCAAAGCGUAACGGAGGAGCACGAAGGUUAGCUAAUCCUGGUCGGACAUCAGGAGGUUAGUGCAAUGGCAUAAGCUAGCUUGACUGCGAGCGUGACGGCGCGAGCAGGUGCGAAAGCAGGUCAUAGUGAUCCGGUGGUUCUGAAUGGAAGGGCCAUCGCUCAACGGAUAAAAGGUACUCCGGGGAUAACAGGCUGAUACCGCCCAAGAGUUCAUAUCGACGGCGGUGUUUGGCACCUCGAUGUCGGCUCAUCACAUCCUGGGGCUGAAGUAGGUCCCAAGGGUAUGGCUGUUCGCCAUUUAAAGUGGUACGCGAGCUGGGUUUAGAACGUCGUGAGACAGUUCGGUCCCUAUCUGCCGUGGGCGCUGGAGAAUUGAGGGGGGCUGCUCCUAGUACGAGAGGACCGGAGUGGACGCAUCACUGGUGUUCGGGUUGUCAUGCCAAUGGCACUGCCCGGUAGCUAAAUGCGGAAGAGAUAAGUGCUGAAAGCAUCUAAGCACGAAACUUGCCCCGAGAUGAGUUCUCCCUGAGACUUUAAGUCUCCUGAAGGAACGUUGAAGACGACGACGUUGAUAGGCCGGGUGUGUAAGCGCAGCGAUGCGUUGAGCUAACCGGUACUAAUGAACCGUGAGGCUUAACCUU
RNAcentral lists this ribosomal RNA (2902 nucleotides) under Klebsiella pneumoniae. RNAcentral's name for it is "23S ribosomal RNA". It matches the Rfam family "Bacterial large subunit ribosomal RNA". The record is from RNAcentral. RNAcentral also lists the same sequence under 1 other name. Lineage: Bacteria; Pseudomonadati; Pseudomonadota; Gammaproteobacteria; Enterobacterales; Enterobacteriaceae.